UACGUAGGGGGCGAGCGUUAUCCGGAUUCAUUGGGCGUAAAGCGCGUGUAGGCGGCCCGUUAGGUCGGGAGUCAAAUCCGGGGGCUCAACCCCCGCUCGCUCCCGAUACCGGGGGGCUUGAGUCUGGUAGGGGAAGGCGGAAUUCCCAGUGUAGCGGUGGAAUGCGCAGAUAUUGGGAAGAACACCGGUGGCGAAGGCGGCCUUCUGGGCCACGACUGACGCUCAGACGCGAAAGCUAGGGGAGCGAACA
Molecule: ribosomal RNA, 250 nt
Filed under: uncultured prokaryote
Description: partial 16S ribosomal RNA
Rfam family: Bacterial small subunit ribosomal RNA
Source: RNAcentral